This 328-nucleotide transfer-messenger RNA is filed under the name Accumulibacter sp. It matches the Rfam family "Betaproteobacteria transfer-messenger RNA". From Rfam's summary of the family: Bacterial tmRNA, also known as 10Sa RNA or SsrA, is named for its dual tRNA and mRNA-like properties. Its role is to liberate the mRNA from a stalled ribosome. Lineage: Bacteria; Pseudomonadati; Pseudomonadota; Betaproteobacteria. The record is from RNAcentral.
CGAUUCUUUUCAGUUGAAAAUUGCCAACGCCGCCCUCAUAAUCGUCGCAUGGUUGUAACUCCGGCAAUCUGGAGGCGUUCUGGACAGGGGUUCGAUUCCCCUCACCUCCACCUAAGGGCGGUGGCUCACUGUUCUUAGGUGGGGGUGCACCGGUUUCGACAGGGCGGGCAAAGGUGCGCAGGCAACCCGAAAGGCGACGAACGUAAAUCGCGCAAAUCCAUAAACGCCAACGAUGAGCGUUUCGCACUGGCCGCUUAAGGCCUAUGCCGAGGCUGCUUUAGCCUUGUAACCAAAGAAAAGCCGGCGGGGACUUCGGUCCCCGUCGUCA